UCAUAUUUGUUUUUUUUGUUUUUUUUUUUUUAAGAUAGAUAGCACGCUACUCACUUCGUUUAUUUCAUUUAAAAAUAAAUUUAGCUGAAAAUGUGAAUCAACUAGAAUUCGAACUUGGGUCCCGAAUACCAACCACCAAAUCCUUUGCCACUUACUCUAGGGAUGGUCGGUUCAAAUUUAUUAAUAUAUAGCUUGAUACGAUUUCAUAAAAGAA
Molecule: long non-coding RNA, 214 nt
Filed under: Ananas comosus (pineapple)
Lineage: Eukaryota; Viridiplantae; Streptophyta; Magnoliopsida; Poales; Bromeliaceae
Description: long non-coding RNA (ACOM_LNC004411)
Source: RNAcentral